CUCUCAUGCAGUUCUUCAAAUAGAUGGAAGAUGUUCAUAGGAUCACUGUGAAGAGCGAAUUAGAUGUUUUAUAAUAACUACAGUAUGAUGAAAAUCCUGACUUGUUACAACAUUAAUGUCAUCCAGAAAAUGAUGGAAAACUAACAGCUCAAGAGUUUUUAAUGUUGGGACAUGCCACUUAUAAACUCCUAAUUACCCGAACUAGAAAAGAUGAACAUUCGUUUUAAAAUUUGCAGCAUCUUCUUUCCAUACUCUCUAAAUGUUUUUGGAAUUACACCUUUACAGGAACUGUUUCACAAAUUUCAAAGCAGUAUAAUUAUUCCUGUGGUAGAAGGGAUACUACGCUGAAAUGCAACAUUCUGCUUAUAGUCCUCUUAUGAAACGUAAAUAAAAUUAACACGAAACAACAAUGUUACCAUUUAGUAUACCUUUUUUUUGCCGUUGUUAAUUGAGACAUAGAGUAAACUAAAAUUCUUUCAAAGUAGCAGUAACUAAAAACAUACACAUAAUCACACUUCCUCAUUUCAGAAUGUUAGACUGCUGGAAU
This 547-nucleotide long non-coding RNA is filed under the name Homo sapiens (human). Its description in RNAcentral is "HSALNT0110662". Lineage: Eukaryota; Metazoa; Chordata; Mammalia; Primates; Hominidae. The record is from RNAcentral.